CAGCAACUAGUAAUGACUACCUACCAUGUUUAUGUGUUCUGGUAAGUGCCUUAGAAUUUGUGAUAUCAGUUUAUCCAGGUCUUUGUGACAGUUAAAUAUGGAGGAUGAGGGGAAGAUAUCAAGAAUAACGGCUAGGUUUUUAGAACAGGUUUUGUAGCUUGGGGGAGAAGAAACAAAUUGUACAUAUUGUGUCUGAGGAACCUGUGGAAGAUUCAGGUUAUGUCUAGUGGGUAGUUAGAUACAGCAGAGAAAUAGGAGCCAUCUGGCCCCAACAGUAGAUUUGUGAACCACCAGGGUAUAAGCAGUAACUGAGG
Molecule: long non-coding RNA, 314 nt
Filed under: Homo sapiens (human)
Lineage: Eukaryota; Metazoa; Chordata; Mammalia; Primates; Hominidae
Description: long non-coding RNA NONHSAT233239
Source: RNAcentral